RNAcentral lists this ribosomal RNA (467 nucleotides) under uncultured bacterium. Its description in RNAcentral is "partial 16S ribosomal RNA". It matches the Rfam family "Bacterial small subunit ribosomal RNA", at positions 28 to 507 of the family's 1533-position model. The record is from RNAcentral.
GACGAACGCUGGCGGCGUGCUUAACACAUGCAAGUCGAACGAUGAUCCGGAGCUUGCUCCUGUGUUUAGUGGCGAACGGGUGAGUAACACGUGAGUAACCUGCCCCUUACUCUGGGAUAAGCGUUGGAAACGACGACUAAUACUUGAUAUGAUCACUGGCCGCAUGGUCUGGUGGGGGGAAGAUUUUGUGGUUGGGGAUGGACUCGCGGCUUAUCAGCUUGUUUGUGUGGGAAUGGCUCACCAAAGCGACGACGGGUAGCCGGCCUGAGAGGGUAAACGGCCACAAUGGGACUGAGGCACGGAGCAGACGCGUACGGGAGGCAACAGGGGGGAGUAUUGCACAAUGAGAGAAAGCCUGAUGCAGAAGCGCCGCGUGAGGGAUGACGGCCUGCGGGUUGUGAACCUCUGUAAGUUGAGAAGAAGCGAAAGUGACGGUACCUGAAGAAAAAGCACCGGCUAACUACGUG